AUUGAACGCUGGCGGCAUGCCUUACACAUGCAAGUCGAACGGCAGCACGGGUGCUUGCACCCGGUGGCGAGUGGCGAACGGGUGAGUAAUACAUCGGAACAUGUCCUGUAGUGGGGGAUAGCCCGGCGAAAGCCGGAUUAAUACCGCAUACGAUCUACGGAUGAAAGCGGGGGACCUUCGGGCCUCGCGCUAUAGGGUUGGCCGAUGGCUGAUUAGCUAGUUGGUGGGGUAAAGGCCUACCAAGGCGACGAUCAGUAGCUGGUCUGAGAGGACGACCAGCCACACUGGGACUGAGACACGGCCCAGACUCCUACGGGAGGCAGCAGUGGGGAAUUUUGGACAAUGGGCGAAAGCCUGAUCCAGCAAUGCCGCGUGUGUGAAGAAGGCCUUCGGGUUGUAAAGCACUUUUGUCCGGAAAGAAAUCCUUGGCUCUAAUACAGCCGGGGGAUGACGGUACCGGAAGAAUAAGCACCGGCUAACUACGUG
Molecule: ribosomal RNA, 486 nt
Filed under: uncultured bacterium
Lineage: Bacteria
Description: partial 16S ribosomal RNA
Rfam family: Bacterial small subunit ribosomal RNA
Source: RNAcentral